CUUGCUUCUCUUGAGAGCGGCGGACGGGUGAGUAAUGCCUAGGAAUCUGCCUGGUAGUGGGGGAUAACGUCCGGAAACGGACGCUAAUACCGCAUACGUCCUACGGGAGAAAGCAGGGGACCUUCGGGCAUUGCGCUAUCAGAUGAGCCUAGGUCGGAUUAGCUAGUUGGUGGGGUAAUGGCUCACCAAGGCGACGAUCCGUAACUGGUCUGAGAGGAUGAUCAGUCACACUGGAACUGAGACACGGUCCAGACUCCUACGGGAGGCAGCAGUGGGGAAUAUUGGACAAUGGGCGAAAGCCUGAUCCAGCCAUGCCGCGUGUGUGAAGAAGGUCUUCGGAUUGUAAAGCACUUUAAGUUGGGAGGAAGGGCAGUAAAUUAAUACUUUGCUGUUUUGACGUUACCGACAGAAUAAGCACCGGCUAACUCUGUGCCAGCAGCCGCGGUAAUACAGAGGGUGCAAGCGUUAAUCGGAAUUACUGGGCGUAAAGCGCGCGUAGGUGGUUCGUUAAGUUGGAUGUGAAAUCCCCGGGCUCAACCUGGGAACUGCAUUCAAAACUGACGAGCUAGAGUAUGGUAGAGGGUGGGUGGAAUUUCCUGUGUA
RNAcentral lists this ribosomal RNA (603 nucleotides) under uncultured bacterium. RNAcentral's name for it is "bacterial SSU rRNA". It matches the Rfam family "Bacterial small subunit ribosomal RNA", at positions 79 to 677 of the family's 1533-position model. The record is from RNAcentral.